GCUCAGGUAGCUUAGACCCUAAAGCAUUGCUCUUGUAAAUCAAAGACGGACCACUCCCCUGGGCA
RNAcentral lists this transfer RNA (65 nucleotides) under Sinomicrurus peinani. RNAcentral describes it as "tRNA-Thr". It matches the Rfam family "tRNA". From Rfam's summary of the family: Transfer RNA (tRNA) molecules are approximately 80 nucleotides in length. Their secondary structure includes four short double-helical elements and three loops (D, anti-codon, and T loops). The record is from RNAcentral. Lineage: Eukaryota; Metazoa; Chordata; Lepidosauria; Squamata; Elapidae.